Molecule: ribosomal RNA, 250 nt
Filed under: uncultured Chroococcidiopsis sp.
Lineage: Bacteria; Bacillati; Cyanobacteriota; Cyanophyceae; Chroococcidiopsidales; Chroococcidiopsidaceae
Description: partial 16S ribosomal RNA
Rfam family: Bacterial small subunit ribosomal RNA
Source: RNAcentral
CCAGCUGUAAACGAUGGAUACUAGGCGUUGAGAGUAUCGACCCUCUCAGUGUCGUAGCUAACGCGUUAAGUAUCCCGCCUGGGGAGUACGCGCGCAAGCGUGAAACUCAAAGGAAUUGACGGGGGCCCGCACAAGCGGUGGAGUAUGUGGUUUAAUUCGAUGCAACGCGAAGAACCUUACCAGGGCUUGACAUGUCCGGAACCCUGCCCAAAGGCGGGGGUGCCUACGGGAACCGGAACACAGGUGGUGC